RNAcentral lists this ribosomal RNA (1146 nucleotides) under Triticum aestivum (bread wheat). RNAcentral describes it as "partial small subunit ribosomal RNA". Lineage: Eukaryota; Viridiplantae; Streptophyta; Magnoliopsida; Poales; Poaceae. The record is from RNAcentral.
AUGGCCUACGUCCCUCCCCACAAGCGCCACUCGAGCACCUCCGAGCCGACCCCAACCCCUUUCCCGCUCUCAUCCUCCCUCCAUUCCCUCUCCAUCUCCUCCCCUUGCGGGCGUCACCACGUUCCCCCGUCCAACAAGAUCAUCCACGCCGUAGACUGCGUCUCCCGCUGGUUCCCGCUCCCGCCCUUCUCCGACGACGCUGAAUUUGUCCGCCUCGAGCCCUUCCCCUGCUACACCGUCGAGCGCAUGACCGGCGCCAAGCCCCUCGUCCUUGCCCUCUCCUCCCCAUCCUCCGGCUACACGGAGGCCGCGGACGCGGCCGCAGUCAUCGCCGAGAGGUUCUUGCCGGACCUCUUAUACGCGGCGGAGAAGGCGAGAGCGAGGACGCACGAUGUGCCCAGGGAAGACGAGGAGGCAAAACUGAGUCUCAUGGCAAGGGUGGGCAAGGUCCUGUUCCAACGCUUUUGUGUUGGUGGAUCGCCCGUCUCCCUGGACGCCGUCCGCGACCUCUCAGAGGCAGGGACAGAAGGAUCCAAGAGCCCGGUCCGUAAAACGUUCCAUACGAAUAUGCCCAGUGAUUUCUUGGAUGACAUGGAGCGACUCGCUGUGGAGAGGAUGGGGCUGGAGUUCGUUUCAACAAAAGAGCACUACCAUGUCAAGGUGGUCGACAAGCAGGGAGUGGUUUCCAAGAUGUCUUGCAAAUGCGCUUUGCAAGAAGAUGGGAAGCUUGCAAUCAACAAGAUUGAAUUGAACCAGAUACGACCCUUAUUGGAAGACGUAUCCUGCCUGUCGAAAGAUCUUGAUUUAAGGCUGAUGUUGAAUACGAAUAGGAUCCUAAUAGACUUGCAGCCUGAAGUGGAAAAUGCCAUCAAGAGCUUAGUGUCUUCAGCUAUUGUUGAUCCUAAUGCCAGAGGGGGGCUUAGACGGCCACUUGGGAACAAGUUGAUUGAUGAGAGGUUCAGCAUAGCUGGAGUGUGGCAUACAAACUACAAGGCUUUUGAGAAUAAAUCCUUGAAGAUGUAUCUAAGGCAUACUGGUCGGUUUGUCCAAGGGAGCUCCACUAGAGAGGUUUCCAAUGAAGUUAGCUUCAAAUUAACUGGCAUAUCCAAGAGACUUCAGAACAGCACAAUGACUAUGUCUCCUUAA